UGGGGAUUAGUGUAACGGUAGCACGACAGACUCUGGAUCUGUCUGUCCUGGUUCGAAUCCAGGAUCCCCAGCCA
Molecule: transfer RNA, 74 nt
Filed under: Pseudomonadota bacterium
Lineage: Bacteria; Pseudomonadati; Pseudomonadota
Also listed under: 2 other names
Description: tRNA-Gln
Rfam family: tRNA
About the family: Transfer RNA (tRNA) molecules are approximately 80 nucleotides in length.
Source: RNAcentral